Molecule: long non-coding RNA, 13964 nt
Organism: Nyctereutes procyonoides (raccoon dog)
Lineage: Eukaryota; Metazoa; Chordata; Mammalia; Carnivora; Canidae
Exons: 4
Source: RefSeq, a predicted model, not a curated record
CCACCCCUAGUUCAUUUCCCAGAGUUAGGAGUCUUUAUGUUCUGUCUCCCUUUCUGAUAUUUUCCACUCAUUUUUUUCUCCUGAGGGGAAAGUUUUGAAUUGGCAAUUUAAAAACUGUGUUUGGUGAUGAUCUGACACUUCUAAAAAUCCUUUUGGACUCCUCCUUUUCAAACUUAUAUUGCUCAGGAUAGUAAUGGAUAGAGGUUGCUGGAAUCAGAGUUAAAAACAGGGUGAUCUGGAGAUGAACAUAAAAUGUACUUUUGUAAUUGCCAUAAAUUACCCCUCUAAUCAGAGUAAAUGUCACCUAAAAUAUAAUCAAAUGUUCUUUCACAUUUGCUCUUUUAAAGUCAGAGCCCAUUUUAAAUGCCAUAAGAGACAGUAGACAUGGUAAUAAUAUAAAAAUAAGCACAAAAUUUGGUUUACAUUAAAUUCAUUUUAAAGUCAAAAUCUGACAUGGGUUUGCACUGUCGUGUGUGUGUGUGUGUGUGUGUGUGUGUUCCAACUCAGUGGGUUUUGCCACCAAUGUUGGUUUUGGGAGCCAGGCCACAAUGCUUAAAUCUAUUGUAAUAAGGUUCAUUUAGCCUGAAUGGUUUUAUAAGGUGAAAAGGCAAAAAGUUUAACACUAAUGAAAAUUCACAGCUUACUAUGAUUGCAUUAAUUGUUCACAGGCCAGAAGCCCACCUGCGGGAAGUACAAAGUUUCAAUGCUGUUUUGUUUUUUUUUCACACUGACAAAACUCACAGGAAAAAGAAAAAACAAAACCUUCUGUAUAUUUUUCCUGCUGGGUGGUCAGAAGGAAAGGCCAUGGAGCCAAAGGCCUCCCAUGGAGACAGUGCUCUGUGAGAGGGGCCUCACGUGCCGCAGCCGCAGGAGACGGGAGCACCUGUCGGGCCUCCGCCACUCCACGGUGAGCUCUGCGUGUGCCACCUGCGCGUGCGGGGGACACCACGCACCACUCCUGGCGGGCACAGGGCCUCCCUGCCCAGAGACGCCUGCCCCAUGUGCCCAAGUCUGGCUCAAGACAUCCUGGAAAAUGUCGUGUGCCCAUUGUCCAGUAGAGCUGCUAGGUAGUUUUAAAGCCAAUGAGCAUUAAAUUUGGUCUAAAAGAUGUGUGUGUGUGUGUGUGUGUGUGUGUGUGUGUGUUCUGCCCUGCAGGGAAGAAGCAAUAGAAGAUGGGGGGAGGGAGAAUUCUAUUUAGACAUUUGCAAAUGUGUGUUGGAACCAUGUAAAAAAGGAUUCCUUAAAAUAUGUUACUUUUGCUAUGUUUUUGUGUAAACAUGGAUGAUGGAAUAACCUUUUUUUUUUAUCUGUAAGGAUCGCAAUAAAACUGUCAAGUACAAGAUGUUAUGCAUUUCUUUUCCAAGCACAGAUUUUAAAAUACUGUAUUUAGUACAGAAAUGUUAGCACAUAAUAAAGGAGAAACACACUUGCUUUUCUGAUCAAGUGCUUAGAUUAAAUGUAUGCCACCUUUAUGAAAACUGGGGCCAGGUGAAGGAAUCGUAGUCUGCUUGGGUAAAUGAAUUUCUUUUCUCCUCCCUAACUCUUAACAUGAAGAAAAACUUGCCCAGGGAAAUUUUUCUCACACAUCAUUUUAAGAGUGAUCUGAAAAUUAUAUUGAAUUGUUGUGGGUAACUCAGGGAAAUUACUUUUCUCCUUUUGAGAUCAUGGAUUUCCACAAGAGGGGAAAUGUUUUUUUAUUGCCAAUUUCUGCAAAGAAUGCACAUGUGCCUGGUAUGCUGCACAAAGCUGCACACGCUGGGAGGCGCCUGAGGAGGAAGGAAUGCCACAGUGGAAGGCAAAGACACAAAUAAUGAAUCAAGUUUAAAGGACUGUGGUCAGAAGCAAGGAGCAAGUGAUACUGAUCUUAUAUGAGACGGGCUUGGACAUCACACCAGCUGCCACGGGGUUUGAUUAAUGAGGCAUUAAGGAGAUCGAGUGACACUUACAGCUAGUUACUUAUGGUGCUAAUUUCAAAACACUUUGCAAUAGACAAAGAGACUCUGCUCAUAAUGCAAAGUAAUUUGUGGUUUGUUCCUGGUGAAUGCAUUUAGCGAAGCAAAUAUAGUUAUGCAGAAUUUAAAUUAAGGUUGACACUAAUGUAAACAGAACCCAAGAACCACUGUCCAAUAAUUUGAUGAGGACACAGGUUUUAAUCAAGCCUCUUCCACUAAAAUAGCAAUUUAAAUCCCCAUCGUUUAAACUGGAUAAAAUGCUUAACCAUGAAGGUUGGGGGAAAAAGAAAUUUACUGGAAAAGAUAAAAGAAACACAGUAUCUCUGGGGAAACUGUGACUAUACUUUGAACCAACAGAGGGUUACCAUACUGAUUUAAAUAUCAGGUUGAUUGUAGGGCCAGAGUCUAGGAAUUUGAGGGCGUUUGCCAUGUAUCUUUUUUUGUUGUUGUGAAAUUGUGGCUUAACACAUUCUGGUACUAUUGACUUCAGAAUAAAAAUGAUCCUGUAACAAGGAAAUGGAGACUUCAAACUGAUUCAGAAUCCCCAGAAGUAUUUAUUUUAUUUAUGAGAAGGAGAAAUACCCCCUGCCACCCCACAACUGAAAAUUUGAACUGAAAUUUUCCAUAUUGACUGGGGUUGGUGAGGAUGGAGACAGCCUGGUAAGGAAGCUGGCCUGCCUACCCAGGUGAGUACCUUUUCCAGAAAGAACCCACACACUCAUACAUGGCUUUUCUCCAGUUUGCUAGUUUAUUUCCCCUUACUAAAAAUCAUUAGGGGAGGAAGGUGGUCAGUCCAGGCAUUAACAUUAAUUAAAAUGCUAGCCACCCAUGUUCUAGGGCCUGGGAUGUCUUGUGUAUCAGAAACAAAACAAAACAAAAUAGCAGCUUACUCUGCUACAGUUCCUGGAAAGAAAAAUCGGUGAAGGCUAGAAACCACAUAUCCUACGGUCUCAGGACUUUACUGUUGACAGUGGAGUAGGAAGGCUGGGGCACCCUAAAUUCUCUGAAUUGUGACCCAACAGUUCCAGAUCACAUUAAUGAUGUAUCUUCUGAGGAAAACUUCGUACAGGGGUAGGGUUUUAAAUACUUAUUGCAUAGAAAAGGCCCAAAAUGAUGUAGGAAAAAGAGGUGUUAAAUGUAAAGCAUUCUGAAAUGUUCCUAGCAGUAAUUCUCAAGGUCACCCACCUUAUGGAAGUUGGUCAAGGGCAGAGACUCAAAUUUUGAAGAGGACGGCAUUUACCUUGAUCUUGGCACCAUCUAUAUGGCAACUGGUCUUGUGUUUGGCAAAUAAAUCAUGCUCUUAAGAUCCCUCGGGCAGAAGGGGAGGACCAGCCUGCACUGAUCCAGGAGCCCACGUGCCCUGCUGUGGGCCUUGGCCCCACGAGGGAUGUGUCCUCCUGGGAAGGAGCCACUGCCCAUUUCUCUGCUUCCCCCUCCUCCGUGGUGGACUGUCAGCGCUGCUCUGUGAAGACACUCCUUUAGGUGUGUGACCUGCGGAAAACCCAUGGCUCAGACUUCCUUCCUCUAAACAUGUUUAGGAGGGGAAGGGACCUCUGGAGUCACAGAGAAGGAACUGAGAAUGCAUCUGUGUGAAUUACAGCUGCAAAGAUGGGGAUUCUGAGAGUAAAGAGGUCUGCCUCCUUUGUGUCCAAGACAGGUACUUUGGCAUCCUGAGGUCGGGAGCCCAGACGCAGAGGUGAGAGGGGACAGGCUGGGAGGUGGCUCAGAAACCACCUGGCUGAGGCUCACACAGGGGUGCAGCCUGUAGGUGCUUCCUCUCUCCUGCUGGAGGAGAAGCCACAGAGAUCUUAGAGGGAUGGUGACGGGGGAGGAGAGAAGUGUGCAGGGCCAAGGUGGCCUGUUAGAACGCCUUCCAGAAUGACAUGAGGAAAACGAUUCGUGGGUGAUGACUCUGGGGGUCUCUCUGGUUUGGGGACAUAUGGGCCCCUUUUGGAUCCUGAUUCAUAGACUCAUCACCUCUGUAGAGAGCAGUCCCUACGGGCUGGGAUGCACUUGGCAUUGACAUAGAAUGUUGAUUUUUGCCCUUGCGGGCAUGACCCCUCCCAGCCUGCUCCUGGUAGUUGCAAGCUUCAGGGGACAGGGUAGGGGCAGGUCUGAUGAGCAUUCCACUCAGCUCUUGGGGGGAUGACAGUGAGCAGCCCCAUGGUGCUCCUCUUCCUCCCUGCCUCCUCUUCCUCUCUCCCUCACCCCUACUUCCUGCAGUCCCCUUCCCAGGAGGCCCACUCAUGACCUCCCACUUUCAGCUGAAAGAGUUGUCCUCCACUUAUCUCCCUGUGCUCGCUGGGGCUGGCCUGUCGGUGUGCGCUGGAGGUGCCACUGGGAGAACCAUUGCGCUCUCCCCUUCACUUUAUUCUUCUAACCACAAAUCCGGAGCCUCAUGCCUCUGAGCUCACUUGCCACACACUCUCAGAAGCAUCUUUUUCUUCUUUACACUGAUGCACUGAUGCUGAAGGGACUGGGGUGGUAGCAUGUCACCCUCGGCCCCUGGGAAGUAACACGGGUGAAGGCUUGGAAAUGCCAACGCAUCUGUUGUCCUCAGCCUCUCUCUCUCUCUCUCUCUCUCUCUCGUCAGCAGAUAAAAUAAAAUAAUUUCCCAGACCACUGUAAAAAAAAAGUUGGCUUUGCAAAAUUCCCUGGUCAUAAAUGAUGCUGGUGAUGCAUUUGGGACUCAUUUCUGGUUAUGGAAACAAGGGGUGCGAUUUGGUGUGAGCCGUCAGCUCCUGAUCCUUGCUGAGAAGGACUCGCAUUCUUUUGCCUGCUCUGUGAAAGAAAUCCAAACCUGUUUCUCCAGCCCUACCUCUCGAUUUGGAAUCCCAGUGCAAAUCCCAACAUCAACAAGGUUGCUAUGUUUUUUUUUUUUUAUGAUUAUCUUAAGAAUUUGUCUCAAGUGAGGCUCGAGUACUGCCAAGGAAAGGUGCCGAGAUCACACUCCGCUCAGCACACAUUCCUCACUUUCUUCCUUCCUGUCUACCGUGCUGCAAACACCACCUCCGGCCACACAAAGCUUGCUUUCUUACAAGAACCAUCAUCUGCCAUGAACCUCUGGCCUCAGAGCCCUCCACUGAUUUCCACUUAAACAGAGAUGACAUGACAAAGUUCUUCACAUCACCUUUAAAGCAGGCUCUGAAAAAAAAAAAAAAAGAAAGAAAAAAGCAGGCUCUGUUCCCAAGAAUCCCUGACUCCUUCUGUGGCCCACCAUAGGGAUGCCCCCCACUGAAGGAGCCCAAGGCCCUUCCAUGGCAGGAGGCCCUUGAGAGGCCCUGGUUGUCUGUGGAAGGCUCUUUCCAGAUACCAGCAAGCCUGCACAGCCAUCCCAAUAGACAACUGAUUCCCACGUGGACUGUUCCUUGUCAAAUGCCAGUGUCGGUGUUGGGUCUCUUCUUUGUGAGGUAGCUGGAGGGGUGAGAUCCUUAACUGCACCAAAGGUAAUUUUGCACCAACGUGGGUAUAAAUGGGUUGGCGGACAGGCUUUUUUUGGUCUGGGAAUACCCACUGAAAAAUAGGUUCUGUGGUGGGGGACUUUUCCAUUGAAAGUCUAAACCAGGGGCACCUGGGUGGCUUGGAUGGUUAGGCAUCUGCCUUUGGCUCGGGUCAUGAUCCCAGAGUCCUGGGAUGGAACCCCACAUCGGGCUUUCCUCUCAGCAGGAGUCUGCUUCUCCCUCUCCUUCUGUGUUCUCCCUUGCUCUCUCUCAAAUAAAGAAAUAAUUUUUUUUAAAAGAUAGUCUAAACUAAACUCCUGAGAUUUACUAUAAUAUACUGCUUCUAAUAAGCAUUUUGGGGGCCAGUUCCAGGAUCGAGUUGUUUCUCUCGGAUCUUUUUUCUAGGUUUCACUGUCUGUUCUCUUCUUUCCUUCUUCCUUUCCUCCAGGACCCCGGGGUAGGCCCCUGGUGUGUCUCCUGACCCUUGCCAGUGCUCAAGCUUCUGGCCCCCCCAGCUCUGCGGAUCAUUAAUGAUAUUGACUACAUGGCAGAAAGAAUAAUUCUGACUUAUUCUACAGAAUUUUUCAUAUGUGCAGGGGUGUUGCAGCUUCCCCUGUGUAUUUACUUAACCAAUUCAUUACAUAGGGACUGAAGCAUCUGAAUUUUUCCAGAUGAAUGAGUCAAUAUUUUAUUUCCUUAAAAUGCACAUGACUCAGCAUUUUAGGAUAUCUCUGAGCAAUGGGUCUAUUUGUUGUUUAUUAGCACUUUUCUAAGAAAUAUCUAGAGAUGAAAGGGUGGAUUCUGAUGGUUUAGGGAAAUUUCUGAGGUUAUCUGAGCACACCAGUUAUCUGUGAAGUUGGAGCAAUACCAGUUGGGAUGUCCAUUGACCUAAACCAGCAGGACAGUUUUCAUGCUCUUGUGAAAUUUCCAAAUCACAUUCCUUUGUUACUUGAGAGUCAGUUGGUCAAGGUAUUGGCAAUGUUUCAAUUCUCCCUUUCUUUAAUUAUUUACCAAAUCCUGUUAAUUCUUCUUUCGUAAUGCACAUUUAUCACUGCUUUUCCAUUCUCCCUGCCAGCACCAUCAUAUAGGCCCCUAUGACAAGGAAAACCUGCUUUCUGUACCACCUGUGUUGUUACCAAUAGUGGGUUUCCAGAGGUUUGUGCCCAGGCCCACAGAGAGGGACAGUUUGAACAAGCUGCUUACAUCCAAUUAUCAUUAUACAUUUUUAAAAGAUUUUAUUUAUUUGAAAGAGAGAAUGAGAGUGAGAGAGCGCACAUGCAGAAGAGAGAGGGAGAAGCAGGCUCCCUGCCAAGGAGGGAGCCCAAUUUGGGGCUAGAUCCCAGGACCCUGAGAUCAUGACCUAAGCCGAAGGCAGACGCUUAACCAAUUGAGCCACUGAGGCACCACUAUCACUGUGCUUUUUAUGAGGGAUUCUAUACCUAUCAUUUCAGUGUCAGUGACAGAUCACAUUCUGAACCUUGCUUUUAUCUUAAAGAAAUCAACUAUAGUUUAUCAUGGAUAUGAAUAAACAUUUUUUAUUAAAGGAAUAUCAAUUUUUAUAUGUAUUGACCUACUAUGUGUAGAGUCUUGAAUUUUUUGCUGAUCAAAAUAGAUCAGAUUUUCUGUAAGAAAGUAAGAACUUGUAUCUCCCUGCCAAUGUGGAAAGUAUUGGAGAUUCAUCCUAGAUGGGUGGGGUAGAUGGCUAUGGACCUACACAUCAAUCUGAACAUCACAAAAAGAGAUGACACAAGACAUUUGUACCUACCAAUGUGAUACAAUAGAAAACACACAAAAUUUUUUGACAAAAAUCAAGCAUGAACCACAUCAAACCGCUGGAUCUAACUGAAAUAUAGAGAACCGAAAAAACUGAAUGGUACUGUUUGAGUGUUGUCAGUAAAAUCCAGAUGGUGGGAAACAGCAUAUAUUAGAUAUAAUACCUUGUUUCUUCAACAAAUAAUCAUUAAGAAAAAAGGGAGAACUUACAGAUUCAAACAUAUAGAAAGCAUAUAUUAGCCAAUUGCCACCUGUAGAUUUUUAGAUCUUAUUUCAAAAAACAACUUCCUCCUUCACCUCCCCCAGCCCUGUAAUAGUAUGAGAUAAUUAGAAAAAUCUAAACAUGUAUGGCCUAUUCAGGAAUUAUUGUCAACUUUUUAUAUGUAGCAAUGGCAUGUGACUAUACUUUUUAAAGUUUGUACCUUUUAGAGUAACAUUCAAAAAAUUAUCUAAGGAAGGCAUGAUUUAAUAUGGGUUAAUUCUAAUUAACCUUCCAAUGAAGCAGCUGGGGAAUAUAGUGGGUGGAGUAAACGUAAAUUAAGACUGACUAUGGGUUGGUAAUUCUGGGAGUGGACUGAUGUGAUAUACCAUUGUCUCUAAUGUAUCUGAAAAUUUCCUAAAUAACAAGUGAAAAAAUUGGGGUUCACACUACUUAAGCUGUUUGCCCCCCAGAUCUCUCAGCAGUUUCAUGUUAGAGAUAGACUGGAGUCUGGGUGACCAUCUUCCUGUCUACUGAAGCCACAUGGGCCUCUCCUAGACUCUUGUCAAGGGCUUUCCUAGUGCUGACUGCUGACGUAGUCAAAGAAGUCAUCUGUAGGUGAUGCUGUGACUAGUUUACUCCUUUUGUUCUUUUUAACUCCCCACUGUUUAGUCUGUUACCAGAAUACACACCACAUUUCAACCCUGGAAUCACAGACCCAACAGCCAUCUCUCUGUGAGCAUGGCAGUGGAAGACACCAUUCAUUAGCAUUUCCUUCUUGAAACUCUUUUCCUUGCUUUCCAUGAUGAUGCAGCUAUGGAUUUUCUUCUGAUGUUGUAAUAAUCAUUUCCUUAACCAACUGCUCAUCAUUCUCCUAUUCAUCCAUGGAAGCCCCUCUGAGGCUCCAAGGUUCAGCUCUCUGCUUUUCUUUCUUUUGACUCUUCUAUCUAAGAGCUACACCUACUCCCCAUCACCUUUGUGUAGAGGACCUCCACCCAGCCUCUAGCCUCAUCUCCCUCCUGAGUUCUUUAAUCUAACCUCUUUAGAUGCUUGUCAGACAUUUCUUCUGAUGGCCCUAGAUAUCACUCCAUCCUACCCAGCGUUUCGACAAAAUGAGUUCCUUCUCUCAUCUUCCCCUUCCAUGUUUUUGAGGCACCAUAUUUACUGUUGGCUCUUGUUUGUAAUGUCUCACCUCCCAUGUUUAUCUCCUUUUCCAACCUCACCUCCAACAUCCAUGUCCAGGCCCCUCUGUUUUACCUCCUUUCUGGGUUUCCUGGCAUCUUUCACUCUAUGACCUGGCAUCUGGAAAGUAUCCCCAAGCCUCUCUGUUCCUAUGCUCACCAAGGCCAUCAGAGAAUUCUUGUUUCUUACAAGAUGAAAUUCUCUCUCUCUCUUUUUAAAAGAUUUUAUUUAUUUAUUCAUGAGAGACACACAGAGAGAGGCAGAGACAGAGGCAGAGGGAGAAGCAGGUUCCAUGCAGGGAACCUGAUGUGGGACUUGAUCCCUGUUCUCUGGGGUCACACCCUGCUGAAGGCAGAUGCUCAACUGCUGAGCCACUCAGGUGCCCCAAGAUGAAAUUCUCAAUUUAUUUCUUCAAUAUCUUCUAAUGAUUUCAAUUGCUAGCUCAAUGACCAGACUCAACACUAGCCUCCUCAAAGACAACAUCUCCCUCCAAUUCUGAACCUUCUCAUUUCCCUCCUCCUUGGGGUGAAGCAAGGCAAAGGUGAGUCCCACCUUUGUUUCAAGACUGAGUUUACUGGAAAUCAUAGAUGGGGUCUCCAUAGUCUGAAAUUGUUAGCUUGGCUUACUUGACCUUAGCUUGGCAUGUAAUGGAAAGACUACUCUAAGCUGGCUGGUCCCCUAAUGCUUGUGGCCUUAAACCAUUGUUCAACCUCUCUUGUCCAUUUAAAAAUGAAGAUAAACCCAACUUGGUUACCCAACUUCCUGAAUAAAGUUGGGCACUGUGCUGGGCCCUUGGAACCUAUAAAAACUGACUGGUUAAUUUCAUCUAUAGAUAUUUUCCCCUUUCUUGGAAGAGAAUACAAAUAUUUUAGGGUUGAGGCUGUCUCAUUCAUCUCAUGGCUGUCAGUCCUCAACACAGUGUGGAGAACAGAAAGUGUUCAAUAAAGAUGAUUGAGUAAAUGAAUCAUUCAUGACCUUCUUCCCCCCACCCAAUCCUAAACCCAACCCCCUCUUCACAGGCACAAGUAUAAAGAUGCCGGCAUACCUGCGUGUGUCAGCAGAUUUUCUGGGAGAUGCCCAUUUUUAAACAGUCUCCCAGUUUUUUUCCUAGUAAGCGCACUUGUCAGAUCAUGUACUUGCAUUUCUUUCUUUUCUUUUUUUAUAACUGGAAGUUUGUACCUCUUAAUGCCCUUUGCCUACUUUACCUGUCCCUUCCCCUUUUGGUAACUACCUGUUUAUUCCCUAUAUCUAUGAGUCUAUUUCUGUUUGUUUUGUUUUCAGAUUCUGUGUAAAAGUAUAUGUCUUUCCCUGUCUGACUUAUCUCACUUAGCCUAAAGCCCUCUCUUUUUGUGACUGAGUAAUAUUCCACAGAAAUUCACCACAUCUUUUUUAUCCAUUUUCUAUUGGUGGACACUUGAGUUGCUUCCAUAUCUUGGCUUUUGUAACUAAUACUACAGUGGACGUAGGGGUGCAUAUAUCUCUUUGAUUGGUGUUUCUGUUUUCUUUAGAGAAAUACUCAGAGGUGGAAUUGCUAGGUAGUAUAGUCAUGCUAUUUUCAUUUUCUGAGGACCCUCCAGACCAUCUUCCAUAGCUGCUGCAUCCAUGUACAUUCCCACCAACAGUGCACAAGGGUUUUCCUUUUCUCUACGUCUUCAACAACACUUUUUUUUUAAUUGGAGUUCAAUUUGCCAACAUAGAACAUAACACCCAGUGCUCAUCCAGCCAAGUGCCCCACUCAGUGCCUGUCACCUAGUCACCCCCACCCCCCGCCCACCUCCCUUUCCACCACCCCUUGUUCGUUUCCCAGAGUUAGGAGUCUCUCAUGUUCUGUCUCCCUCUGUGAUAUUUCCCACUCAUUUUCUCUCCUUUCCCCUUUAGUCCCUUUCAUUACUUUUUAUAUUCCCCCAAAUGAAUGAGACCAUAUAAUGUUUGUCCUUCUCUGAUUGACUUGCUUCACUCAGCAUAAUACCCUCCAGUUCCAUCCACAUCGAAGCAAAUGGUUGGUUUUUGUCGUUUCUAAUGGCUGAGUAAUAUUCCAUUCAACAACACUUGUUAUCUUUGUCUUUUUGAUAAUAGCCUAUCUGACAGAUGUGAGGUGAUGUCUCAUUAUGGUUUUGAUUUGCAUUUCCCUGGUAAAGAGUGAUAUUGAGUAUAUUUUUGUGUUAUGUACUUGUAUUUCUUGAUUUAAAAAAUAUCACUAAGUGGUAUAUACUUUUGGUUUGCAUGUUACUGAAACUCUCAGUGGCCUAGGUGACUUGAGGUGGGUGUGGAGGACAAUAGGGAGAACUGAAUAGGUGGGUGGCAGGAGAAUGUGUGGAUCUUUGCAUAUAAAUACCCAAAUCUAAUCUGUUACUUCUCCAACACAUCUCACUGAAGCUGCCUUUCCCCUUCCCAUAUCUGCUCUGAAAGGUAAUUUCUUUUCUUUUCUUUUCCUUUCCUUUCUUUUCUUUUCUUUCUUUUCUUUUCUUUUUUUAAGAUUUUAUUUAUUUAUUUAUUCAUGAGAGACACAGAGAGAGAUCCAGAGACACAAGCAGAGGGCGAUGCAGGCUCCACGUAAGGAGCCUGAUGUGGGACUCAAUCCCAGGACUCCAGGAUCCCACCCUGGGCCGAAGGCAAGAUACUCAACCACUGAGCCAACCAGGGAUUCCCAGGCAAGAUUCUCAUUACUGAAACAGGACAGUAGCCCCAUAAGUAAUCUCUCCGUGUCAUAUGUGUGCUCACUUGAUUUGUCCCAGCCACUGCUGUAAACUUGGUAUUCCUGAAGAACAGUUAGAACACAUUCUUUCUCUCCUUAAAAGCCAUCAGUGACUCCCCUGUACCUGAUGUGCUGGUAUGUACCAAUGCAUCUUGGUUUUUUUUGACUUACCACUAUAUAACCACUCAACAUUUUUAACUUCAUAACUUACAUCUUAAUCUCUAUAUAUUCUAUGCUCUAGCAAAAUGGAAAUAUUUCCUGUCCUCAGAGCAUAUGUUCUACUUAGCCACCUUCAACUUUUUCUUUGUGUGGUUCCCAGGAUGUGAAAACUCUCCUUCCAAGCACAACUGUUGAGAUCUGCCUAUCUCUGAAGGUCAAUCUUGAGCACUACCACAUCCCUGAGUCUUUUCAGAUCAAGCCUUCUCAACACUGUGUAAUUCUUAUGAUAUUUAACAUAUUUAUCUUGGAAUCUUAAUGCUGUAUCCAUGUUUCCAGCCUGGGGCCUUGAACAGAGUAAGCAUUCUAGAUAUGUAUGGCAUUGAACUCAACACCAGUUAUGUUUCAAGCCCUCUGUUAGAUUCAGAGGAUACUGCAAGGGCGACCUUCUGAGGAUGAUACAAGAGAAAGUAUGAGGAGUUAUUCUGUAAACCUAGAAGCAGUACACACAUCUGAAUAGUACAAAGAUGAUGAUGAAGAAGAUGCUGUUGAUGAUGUGACAUCUGUGCAGGAUGCAUGUUGAAGAUGAUGAUGAGCUAAAGUCAAGGAGCACCACCCAACCCAUAUCAACCAUUCACAUCUAUCAGGACCACACAUCUACGUUGAAAGCAAGGAACUGGGAAUAGUUUCUUCUUCUUCCCUGUUAUGUGUGCACCUCCCUUCAUUCCAAGUUGUAGUAUGCAGUGAAAUGACCAGGAAGGAUAAAAAAGGAGGUUAUGGGACUGCUUAAAUCAUUGAACAACAGGAUCACUGACUGUGUCCAAAAAGGUCUUAGCCAAGCCAAGCAGUGGAAAAGGUGAAAUGUUAAUAUGAAUGCAGUAAAUAUUCAGUCCCUAUUUGGAGGAUCUUGGGGAAAAAGGAGAGUGUUGUGUUGGGAAUGACUGGCAGGUAAAUGUCUGCAGGGGCCUACCACAUCACAGAAGACUAUGUCUGGAGGAAAAGGUAUGCCUGACAUCCUUUCCAAUAAAAACCCUGGGAAAAACAUCCGUCAAGUGAUAUUUAGAACUGACAUUUUCAUAAGGAUCCAGUCUAUAGAGGGUUUUUGCAGGGCUUGGAAAACCACGUUUUUCAUUCUUCCUUCUCCUCAUCUUCUGUAAUUAAACAGUGUUUACAGUGUUAAAUGUAUAUUUAAAAAUGACAUGCUUUAAGGAUUACAUUUUAGAAAGCUUUUUAUUUGGGAAUAAUUUUGACAAUAAUAAUGAUCAUUUCAAAAAGUAAUAUUUCCUGAACCUUUUGAGAGUAAGUUAGGUGCACAUCUCAUGGCUCUUUACUCCUAAAUGUUUCCUAUUUCCUCCUAAAGGUACCACAAGCUGGGGUCUUAGACACAGAGGGAGGCUCAAUAUCUGGCACUGAGUUUUGGGAAAUGGAAGCCCAGAUUCUCCAUUUAUUCUCCAGCAAUGAGGAUAUUCCUGAAGAGGCAUGUUGGCUGAAAGAUGCUCACAUAGAAUGACAUAGAGAGAUGUCAGCUCCAUUGCCAGAGGCACUGCUCUGUCUAAUGUUUUCACAUUCUGCUUGGAUGAAGAAAUAGAAGGGACAUUGGCCCUACUGUUCAGGGAUCCUUAUUGGGCAGAGGUGGCUAACACAGUCUCCAGGUCAGAAAAGAUCUUGAUAGCCUGGACCUUUACUGGAUUGCAUAUAGCAUGUACAUUAUAGGGGUACCUGGAUGGCUCAGUCAGUUUAGCAUCUGCCUUUGCCUCAGAUCACAAUCUCGGGGUCUUGGGAUCGAGCCUCGUGUUGGGCUUUCUACUCAGCAGGGAGUCUGCUUCUCUCUCUCUCUCUCUCUGUGCUCUCUCCUCCCUAUUUUGAGUAAAUAAAUAAAAUCUGUAAAAAAAAUAAAGCGUACAUUAUAGAAGCACAAAAUUACUACUGUAUUAUUUCCUUGGUUCUAAGAGACUUUUCACUACUUUUUCUUGUUUCUGAACUUUAGAUGCCCCUAAAAUCUAUGUCAAAGGCAACUAACAGUGUAAUAGUUAAGGGAGUUGUAAAUAGAAAGCCUACCUGCACGGAAGUGCAGGUCCAAUUGAUUUUGCCACCUAGAUUUUCUCCACCGUUGGUUGCAACAUACAGGAAUACAUUUCUUUCGAGGUAUACGUACACUAAGGUGUAUCCUUCUUAUUGUGCAGUUCUAGGAGUUUCAACAAAUACAAUCAUGUGACUGAUACCAAAAUCAACACACAGAAUGGCUACAUCCCUAAAAGUUUCCCUUGUAGCAAACCUUUAUAGCCAAAUCUCUCCCAUGCACUUUGUUUUGUAUCCAGUUAGUUUGGUCUUUUCCAGAAUGCCAUAGAAAUGCAAAAUAUAAAUAUUUAAUUAUAUGGUAUAUAGACUUCCUGAGUCUGGAUUCUUUUACUUAGGGAAUGCAUGUGAAAUUUACCCAUACUGUUGUAUGUAUUAAUAGUCUGCUCCUUUUUAUUGCUGAGUUGUAUUCCGUUGCACAGACUUCUUGUACAAUGUUCACCUGUUCAACAUUUAGUGGACAUGUAUCCUAAUUUCAGGUUUUGGUUAUU